AUAAUAUAUUUUAUAAAUCAUGAAAAAACGAUUUAACAAAAGGGUCCAAUGUACGUACACCGCACAAAUGUUUUCAUCAGUAUCGUCAAUUGUAUUAUAUAACAAUAAUAAUCGCUUUCUUGAGCAUGUUAUUAUUACUAUGUUUCGUCAUCUCUCACAUCGCGCGUUCUGACAGUACCUACUGCAACACACGCCGGCCGGGUGUCUUACACUGCUAUGCGGAAGACUAUCUCUAACUUAAAAUAGAUAAAAUAAUCCAUACAAUAUCAACUUUAAGUACUUUACGAGGUUACUCGACAAGGAUUGCAGGUGUUUUCGUUUUUGAGAGUGUACAAAUUAAAGAAGAAGUAAAAUUAGAGAAAAACUUCAAAAUAAUAACUUAACAGUUAUUUUAAUGAAUAAUUGAUGAUACCCGUAUUACAUAAUGUACAGGUUAAUAUCAGAUGUUGAUAAAAAAGUACAACGGCCUCAGCAUCCAAGGGAGAAUGCAAAUAUUUUUGAAAUCAUUUCAUACAGCUGGAUGUUAAAUCUGUUCAAAACAGGACGAAAAAGAGAUUUAGAAGAAGAUGAUUUGUAUAUGACAUUAAACGAACACACUUCAUCAUUAUUGGGAAACGAAUUAGAGAAUAAAUGGAAUUUAGAAUUGGCGAGUGCAUUUAAGCGGGAGCAAAAACCCAGCUUGACGAGAGCCUUGAUUCGAAUGUCUGCUGCUCGAUAUAUGUUUUAUGGUUUUUUACUGUUCGUUGAUAAAAUUAUAUUGAAAAUGUCUCAGCCGCUAUUUAUUGGAGGAAUAUUAGCGUAUUUCAACCCAGUUGGUUCCGACAAAGCUGACUUAGGAUAUGCAUACAUGUGUGCAUUUGGCCUAGUGUUUAGUAUGUUCACUUCGAUGGUCUUGCAAAAUGUAACACUGAUAGAAAUAUUACACUGUGGUAUGAAAAUGCGAAUCGCUUGCUGUUCGAUGAUAUUUAGAAAAUCGCUACGUCUGAGUAACACUGCUAUAAAUGAAACCACGGUCGGUCAAAUGAUAAAUUUAUUAUCCAAUGAUGUAAAUCGGUUCGAUAGAUCCGCGACUUUUCUUCACUAUUUAUGGAUCGGUCCCAUACAGUCAAUUGUGGUCACAUAUUUUUUGUGGCAGGAAAUAGGCGUAUCUUCAUUAUUGAGUAUUGCUGUCAUGAUUCUAAUAAUUCCAUUUCAAGGAUGGCUUGGGAAAAAAAUUUCCGAAAAUCGACUGAAAACAGCCAAAACAACUGACGAGAGAAUACGUUUAAUGAAUGAAAUCAUUUCUGGUAUUAAAGUAAUUAAAAUGUACACUUGGGAAAAUCUAUUUUCAAAAUGUGUAAAAUAUAUAAGAAAAAAAGAAAUUGAACAUUUAAAAAUAUCAUCAUACAUCAGAGAUACUUUGACGUCGUUAGCAAUAAUUCAAACAAGAUUUCAACUAUUUAUUAGUAUUUUGUCAUACGUAUUACUAGGAAAUUAUAUUACCGUACAAAAAAUUUUUGUCAUAACCACAUACUUCAGUAUAUUAAUGCCCACAAUGACAUUUUUCUUUUGUCAAGGUCUAGGACAAAUUUCAGAAUUGAAAGUUUCAAUAAAACGUAUACAGAAUUUUUUAUUGCACGAAGAAAACAAUGAUCAUAUUAUUAAACCAAAGCAAUCUAUUGCUGAAAAACCAAUGGUUAUAAAUCAUAACGAAUUAAUAGAGUCUGAUGAUAAUAGUACCGACAUAAAAGAUGACAUCGGACGUUUCAAUCAUUUUUGUAUGGUAAUUUCGAAAGCUACAGCUAAGUGGACAGACAAUCAAACCAGAAAUUCUUUAGAAAACAUAUCACUGGCUGUAAGACCUGGUAGCUUGGUCGCAAUCGUUGGUACCGUAGGAGCGGGAAAAAGUUCAUUAAUUCAAGCAAUUUUACGAGAAUUACCACUUUCUGAUGGUGUCAUACAUGUGCGGGGUGUAAUUUCUUACGCGUCACAAGAACCGUGGAUAUUCGCUGGAUCCGUUCAACAGAAUAUUGUGUUCAAUUCACCAAUGGAUAAGGAUCGUUAUAAAAAAGUAAUACAAGUAUGUACAUUGAAAAGUGAUUUUGAACAGUUUCCGUACGGUGAUAAAACAAUUGUGGGAGAAAGAGGUGUUACUCUAAGUGGUGGACAAAAAGUUAGAAUAAAUUUAGCUAGAGCUUUAUACAAACAAGCGGAUAUUUAUUUAUUGGAUAACCCUCUUUCAGCGGUUGACGCAAACGUUGGAAGUCAUUUAUUUGAAAUAGGCAUAAAAGGUUUCCUUAAAGAAAAAACUCGUAUUCUUGUUACUCAUCGAUUGCAGUGUUUAGCUGAUAUGGAUCAAAUUGUGGUUAUGGAAAAUGCAAAAAUAUUAGCAAAGGGUACAUAUGAAGAACUUCAGGCGUCAAAUAUAGACUUAACAAAUCAUAUUCAAUCUUUAAAGUUACCAAAUGAUGAAUAUAUCAUUAGUAAUGAAAGCCUUUUAAGUUCUGAACAAAAGUCUACUUUUGAACGUCAUGCGUCUGUAGCAAGUAUCAAAUUGUCAACUAGUGAAAGUAAUUACAGUGAAAAUACAGCAGAGCCCACUGGAAUGAUUGAGCCCCGAACUUAUGGAACUGUUUCAUAUGCCGUUUAUUUAUUAUAUUUUUUGGCUGGUGGAAGGAAGUGCAAAAUAUUAUUCUUUAUUUUUAUCUGUAUUCUCACUCAAUUAUUGUCUUCUGUUGGAGAUUUUUGGAUAACGUAUUGGGUAAACUUAGAAGAACAUGUUUUUCAAAAUGAAAGUAGUGUGUCUACAUCAACAUUUAAUGAAUCAUUGAGUAAUAUUUGGUGGAUGACAAUUUCUCGACAGACCUGUAUAAAUGUUUUUGGAUGUAUCACACUUUUCUUGAUUAUAGUUACGACCAUCAGAUUAAUUACAUUUGUAUCGAUUAGUAUGAGUGCUUCUAAACAUUUACACAAUAAUAUGUUCAAUACUUUAAUCAGGGCAACAAUAUACUUUUUUAAUACAAAUUUAUCAGGAUCUAUUCUUAACCGUUUUUCAAAGGACAUGGGAACUAUUGAUGAGAUGUUACCUGUAUCAUUGUUAGAUUGUAUACACAAUGGAUUGAACCUAUUGGGAGUAUUGAUAGUUGUUGGAAUUAUAAAUAUAUAUCUUAUGAUUCCAGCUAUCAUAUUAGCAAUUAUUUUUUACAAAAUCACCGUUUUUUAUUUGUCAUUAUCACGGAGUGUUAAACGAUUGGAAGGAAGUACACGUAGUCCUGCAUUCACUCAUUUGAAUGCAACUAUUCAAGGUUUAACGACAAUAAGGGCAUUUAAAGCUGAAAAUAUAUUGUCAAAAGAAUUCGAUAAUCACCAGGACUUACAUUCGUCGGCGUGGUAUUUAUUUAUAACAUCAAGUAGAGCAUUUGCCUUUUGGUUGGAUUUAAUUUGCUUUAUAUAUACAAGCAUAGUUACCUUUAGCUUCAUAGUAAUCAGUAACACAACAUUUGGAGGAAAUGUUGGCCUAGCUAUUUCACAAACUUGUGGACUAGCUGGUCUGGUUCAAUUUGGCAUGCGACAAACAGCGGAAUUAGAAAAUCAUAUGACGUCAGUUGAAAGAGUUCUAGAAUACACGAAUGCUCCACAAGAAUGUUCGUUUGAAUCAUCUACAGAUAAAUUGCUUUCAUUAAAAUGGCCGUCAAAUGGAAGUAUUAUAUUCAAAAACUUCUAUUUAAGAUAUAGUCCAAAAGCACCACAUGCAAUUAAUAACCUGAAUGUAUACAUCGAAUCAAUGCAAAAAAUAGGAAUAGUUGGUAGAACAGGAGCUGGAAAGUCGUCUUUAAUUACAGCCCUAUUUAGAUUAGCUAUAAAUGAAGGUAAUAUCAUAAUCGAUGACAUGGAUAUACACGAAUUGGGACUAAAUGUUUUGCGGUCCAAACUUUCCAUCAUUCCUCAAGAACCAGUAUUGUUCUCUGGAACAAUGCGAACAAAUUUAGAUCCAUUUAAUGAAUACUCGGAUCAUAUUCUUUUAAAUGCAUUAGAUGAAGUCGAGCUUAAAGAUGUUGUUGAAAAUUUACCUAAUGGUCUUAACACGAAAAUUUCCGAAGGUGGUUCCAAUUUCAGUAUUGGUCAAAGGCAAUUAAUAUGCCUAGCUCGAGCUAUUAUUCGAUGUAAUAAAAUUCUUGUACUGGAUGAAGCUACUGCUAACGUCGAUCCACAAUGCAUUGAUUCAAAAUACCAUCAGAUACAAAUUCCGAACAUGUACAGUCUUAACAAUUGCACACCGUUUGAACACUGUUAUGGAUUCGGACAAAGUCCUUGUUUUGGACAAAGGAAUAAUGGUCGAGUUUGACCAUCCUCAUAAUUUGUUACAAAAUAAAGAAGGAGUAUUUUACAAAAUGGUGGAACAGACAGGACCGGCUACAUCUGAUUUUUUACACAGAAUAGCUGAAGAGAGUUAUAAUUCUAUAAGUUUGGUGGCGGAACCGAAAUCCGAAUCAUCUGUCAAUGAUGCAGUUGGAAUUUCAACGAAAAAUGUAUAAUAAUCUUUUUCGUAGUGUCCCAUACUAUUACAUGCCUUAACCAUGAACUUGAAUAAUUUAAAAUCAUAAUAAUAUAUAAUAUGUAUUAUA
RNA transcript from Acyrthosiphon pisum (pea aphid), 4604 nucleotides. It is a transcript of the gene named multidrug resistance-associated protein 4, with no coding region annotated. Lineage: Eukaryota; Metazoa; Arthropoda; Insecta; Hemiptera; Aphididae. The transcript is spliced from 27 exons. The record is from RefSeq and is a predicted model, not a curated record.